AACUGAAGAGUUUGAUCAUGGCUCAGAUUGAACGCUGGCGGCAGGCUUAACACAUGCAAGUCGAGCGGGGGAAGGUAGCUUGCUACCGGACCUAGCGGCGGACGGGUGAGUAAUGCUUAGGAAUCUGCCUAUUAGUGGGGGACAACAUCUCGAAAGGGAUGCUAAUACCGCAUACGUCCUACGGGAGAAAGCAGGGGAUCUUCGGACCUUGCGCUAAUAGAUGAGCCUAAGUCGGAUUAGCU
RNAcentral lists this ribosomal RNA (242 nucleotides) under Acinetobacter baumannii. Its description in RNAcentral is "partial 16S ribosomal RNA". It matches the Rfam family "Bacterial small subunit ribosomal RNA", at positions 1 to 246 of the family's 1533-position model. The record is from RNAcentral. Lineage: Bacteria; Pseudomonadati; Pseudomonadota; Gammaproteobacteria; Moraxellales; Moraxellaceae.